UACGGAAUCUGAAGCUUACCCGGAAUUCGAUUAAGGAUUGAUGAGGUGGGUUGUGAUCGCCGCGCCGCUUGAAAAUGAAGAGCUAAAUAUGGCGACCGGUUCAGGCCUUAUGUGGGCCAAACCCAAUUCAAUUUUUCAAAAAAUAAAAUUAAAAAUUCAUGCGAGAUAGACGGAAAUGAGGUAAGGUUAGGCGGUCCAGGUAUCAUGGGCCUUAACGGGCUAAGAGGCCCACCAUUUAAAAAGAGGGAAAAAAAAAAUGGUAUCCCACUACUUCAAACAGUUGUAAAAAACAGAAAACUCACAUUUUAAAAGAUUUAAACAAAUAAAUCUUUUAAGCGGUCCAGGUAUCAUGGGCCUUAACGGGCUAAGAGGCCCACCAUUUAAAAAGAGGGAAAAAAAAAACUAGAAAAUAACAUCCCACUACUUCAAACAGUUACAAAAACCAGAAAACCUACCUUUUAAAAGAUUUAAACAAAUAAAGACAUAAGCCCAAAGCCCAAUAACAGAUAGGAAGAGAGAUGACCUGAAUUUCAAGUGAAAAAUUACCAAGAUGUUUACUUUUUUAACAAAAUUACGUGACAUACCACACCAUUCAUUCUCUCUCUCUCUCNNNNNN
This 616-nucleotide long non-coding RNA is filed under the name Fragaria vesca (wild strawberry). Its description in RNAcentral is "long non-coding RNA (FVES_LNC001229)". The record is from RNAcentral. Lineage: Eukaryota; Viridiplantae; Streptophyta; Magnoliopsida; Rosales; Rosaceae.